UACAGAGGGUGCAAGCGUUAUCCGGAUUUAUUGGGUUUAAAGGGUCCGUAGGCGGACCUAUAAGUCAGUGGUGAAAUCCUAUCGCUUAACGAUAGAACUGCCAUUGAUACUGUAAGUCUUGAGUGUAGUUGAGGUAGCUGGAAUAAGUAGUGUAGCGGUGAAAUGCAUAGAUAUUACUUAGAACACCAAUUGCGAAGGCAGGUUACCAAGUUACAACUGACGCUGAUGGACGAAAGCGUGGGGAGCGAACAGG
Molecule: ribosomal RNA, 253 nt
Filed under: uncultured Flavobacteriales bacterium
Lineage: Bacteria; Pseudomonadati; Bacteroidota; Flavobacteriia; Flavobacteriales
Description: partial 16S ribosomal RNA
Rfam family: Bacterial small subunit ribosomal RNA
Source: RNAcentral